AUGUUCUCUCUGGUGGCCAGUGUCCAUGUUCUCUCUCGUGGCCAGUGUCCAUGUUCCCUCUCGUGGCCAGUGUCCAUGUUCCCUCUGGUGGCCACUGGCCAUGUUCCCUCUGGUGGCCACUGUCCAUGUUCUCUCUGGUGGCCACUGUCCAUGUUCCCUCUGGUGGCCAGUGUCCAUGUUCUCUCUGGUGGCCAGUGUCCAUGUCCCCACUGGUGGCCAGUGUCCAUUUUCUCUCUGGUAGCCACUGUCCAUGUUCUCUCUGGUGGCCACUGUCCAUGUUCUCUCUGGUGGCCAGUGUCCAUGUUCUCUCUGGUGGCCAGUGUCCAUGUCCCCACUGGUGGCCAGUGUCCAUGUUCUCUCUGGUGGCCACUGUCCAUGUCCCCACUGGUGGCCAGUGUCCAUGUUCUCUCUGGUGGCCAGUGUCCAUGUUCCCUCUGGUGGCCAGUGUCCAUGUUCCCUCUCGUGGCCAGUGUCCAUGUACCCUCUGGUGGCCAGUGUCCAUGUUCUCUCUGGUGGCCAGUGUCCAUGUUCUCUCUGGUGGCCAGUGUCCAUGUUCUCUCUGGUGGCCAGUGUCCAUGUUCUCUCUGGUGGCCAGUGUCCAUGUCCCCACUGGUGGCCAGUGUCCAUGUUCUCUCUGGUGGCCAGUGUCCAUGUUCCCUCUGGUGGCCAGUGUCCAUGUUCCCUCUCGUGGCCAGUGUCCAUAUUCCCUCUCGUGGCCAGUGUCCAUGCUCCCUCUGGUGGCCAGUGUCCAUGCUCCCUCUGGUGGCCAGUGUCCAUGUACCCUCUGGUGGCCAGUGUCCAUGUUCCCUCUGGUGGCCAGUGUCCAUGUACCCUCUGGUGGCCAGUGUCCAUGUUCCCUCUGGUGGCCAGUGUCCAUGUACCCUCUGGUGGCCAGUGUCCAUGUUCCCUCUGGUGGCCAGUGUCCAUGUUCCCUCUGGUGGCCAGUGUCCAUGUUCCCUCUGGUGGCCAGUGUCCAUGUUCUAUCUGGUGGCCAGUGCCUAUAUGUUAAAUACUCCACAGGUCCACUGGCUAUGUUUGCUUGAGGAUGGGUUAGGGUUGGUUAGGACUAUCAUGGAGAGAUGA
Molecule: long non-coding RNA, 1083 nt
Filed under: Oncorhynchus kisutch (coho salmon)
Lineage: Eukaryota; Metazoa; Chordata; Actinopteri; Salmoniformes; Salmonidae
Description: lncRNA (ENSOKIG00005039012.1)
Source: RNAcentral